This 315-nucleotide ribosomal RNA is filed under the name uncultured eukaryote. RNAcentral describes it as "partial 18S ribosomal RNA". It matches the Rfam family "Eukaryotic small subunit ribosomal RNA", at positions 1470 to 1796 of the family's 1831-position model. The record is from RNAcentral.
CCCUUAGACGUUCUGGGCCGCACGCGCGCUACACUGACCAGUGCAACAAGCAUCCGUCUUUGGCCGACAGGCCCGGGCAAUCUUUGAACGCUGGUCGUGAUGGGGAUAGACUUUUGCAAUUUUUGGUCUUCAACGAGGAAUUCCUAGUAAACGCAAGUCAUCAACUUGCAUUGAUUACGUCCCUGCCCUUUGUACACACCGCCCGUCGCACCUACCGAUUGAAUGGUCCGGUGAAGCCUCCGGAUUGGCGCGCACCUCGGUGCCGCCGAGAAGUUGGCUAAACCUUACCAUUUAGAGGAAGGUGAAGUCGUAACA